UCNUCUGGCUUAACUGGGGGCUUGCGGUGGGUACGGGCCGGCUNGAGUGCGGUAAGGGAGACUGGAACUCCUGGUGUAGCGGUGGAAUGCGCAGAUAUCAGGAAGAACACCGGUGGCGAAGGCGGGUCUCUGGGCCGUUACUGACGCUGAGGAGCGAAAGCGUGGGGAGCGAACAGGAUUAGAUACCCUGGUAGUCCGCGCCGUAAACGUUGGGCACUAGGUGUGGGGGGCCUUUUCCGGGUUUUCCGCGCCGUAGCUAACGCAUUAAGUGCCCCGCCUGGGGAGUACGGCCGCAAGGCUAAAACUCAAAGGAAUUGACGGGGGCCCGCACAAGCGGCGGAGCAUGCGGAUUAAUUCGAUGCAAUGCGAAGAACCUUACCAAGGCUUGACAUGUGCCGGUCGGCUCCGGAGACGGGGUUUCCUCCUUGUGGGGCCGGUUCACAGGUGGUGCAUGGUUGUCGUCAGCUCGUGUCGUGAGAUGUCGGGUUAAGUCCCGCAACGAGCGCAACCCUUGUCCCGUGUUGCCAGCACGUUGUGGUGGGGACUCGCGGGAGACUGCCGGGGUCAACUCGGAGGAAGGUGGGGAUGACGUCAAAUCAUCAUGCCCCUUAUGUCUUGGGCUUCACGCAUGCUACAAUGGCCGGUACAGAGGGCUGCGAUACCGUGAGGUGGAGCGAAUCCCUUAAAGCCGGUCUCAGUUCGGAUCGGUGUCUGCAACUCGACACCGUGAAGUUGGAGUCGCUAGUAAUCGCAGAUCAGCAACGCUGCGGUGAAUACGUUCUCGGGCCUUGUACACACCGCCCGUCACGUCAUGAAAGUCGGCAACACCCGAAGCCCGUGGCCC
RNAcentral lists this ribosomal RNA (844 nucleotides) under uncultured bacterium. RNAcentral's name for it is "bacterial SSU rRNA". It matches the Rfam family "Bacterial small subunit ribosomal RNA", at positions 600 to 1436 of the family's 1533-position model. The record is from RNAcentral.